This 135-nucleotide ribosomal RNA is filed under the name uncultured bacterium. RNAcentral's name for it is "partial 16S rRNA". It matches the Rfam family "Bacterial small subunit ribosomal RNA", at positions 355 to 507 of the family's 1533-position model. The record is from RNAcentral.
UGGGGAAUAUUGGACAAUGGGCGCAAGCCUGAUCCAGCAAUGCCGCGUGAGUGAUGAAGGCCUUAGGGUUGUAAAGCUCUUUUACCCGGGAUGAUAAUGACAGUACCGGGAGAAUAAGCUCCGGCUAACUCCGUG